AAGAUAUUAGUAAAAAUUACAUAACUUUGUCGAAGUUAAAUUAUAGGUGCAAGCCCUAUAUAUCUUU
RNAcentral lists this transfer RNA (67 nucleotides) under Pipistrellus pygmaeus (soprano pipistrelle). Its description in RNAcentral is "tRNA-Asp". It matches the Rfam family "tRNA". Rfam says of the family: Transfer RNA (tRNA) molecules are approximately 80 nucleotides in length. Their secondary structure includes four short double-helical elements and three loops (D, anti-codon, and T loops). Further hydrogen bonds mediate the characteristic L-shaped molecular structure. tRNAs have two regions of fundamental functional importance: the anti-codon, which is responsible for specific mRNA codon recognition, and the 3' end, to which the tRNAs corresponding amino acid is attached (by aminoacyl-tRNA synthetases). tRNAs cope with the degeneracy of the genetic code in two manners: having more than one tRNA (with a specific anti-codon) for a particular amino acid; and 'wobble' base-pairing, i.e. permitting non-standard base-pairing at the 3rd anti-codon position. Lineage: Eukaryota; Metazoa; Chordata; Mammalia; Chiroptera; Vespertilionidae. The record is from RNAcentral.